RNAcentral lists this ribosomal RNA (481 nucleotides) under uncultured bacterium. RNAcentral's name for it is "partial 16S ribosomal RNA". It matches the Rfam family "Bacterial small subunit ribosomal RNA", at positions 28 to 507 of the family's 1533-position model. The record is from RNAcentral.
GACGAACGUUGGCGGCGUGCUUAAUACAUGCAAGUCCACUGAAGCAGUGGUAGCAAUAUCGCUGUGGAGGUGGCGCACGGGUGGGUAACACGUAGGUAAUCUGCCUUCAGGUCUGGCAUAACUCCGGGAAACCGGGGCUAAUAGCAGAUGAUGCAGCGGCUCGACAUCGAGACAGUUGUUAAAGCUAUGGCGCCUGAAGAUGAGCCUGCGUCUGAUUAGCUAGUUGGCGGGGUAACGGCCCACCAAGGCAACGAUCAGUAGCUGGUCUGAGAGGAUGAUCAGCCACACUGGAACUGAGACACGGUCCAGACUCCUACGGGAGGCAGCAGUAAGGAAUAUUGCUCAAUGGGAGAAAUCCUGAAGCAGCAACGCCGCGUGAGGGACGAAGGGCUUUGGCUUGUAAACCUCUGUAGUGAGAGAAAAAAAUCCCAAUCUUUGGGACAUGAUGGUAGCUCAAAAGUAAGCCCCGGCUAACUACGUG